RNAcentral lists this ribosomal RNA (253 nucleotides) under uncultured bacterium. RNAcentral describes it as "partial 16S ribosomal RNA". It matches the Rfam family "Bacterial small subunit ribosomal RNA", at positions 524 to 776 of the family's 1533-position model. The record is from RNAcentral.
GACAGAGGCCUCGAGCGUUAGGCGGAAUCACUGGGCUUAAAGCGUGUGUAGGCGGGCCCGUAAGUGUCUUGUGAAAUCCCACGGCUCAACCGUGGAACUGCUGGGCAUACUGCGGGUCUUGGGCCAACUAGGGGCAGCCGGAACAAGCGGUGGAGCGGUGAAAUGCGUAGAUAUCGUUUGGAACGCCGAAGGUGAAAACAGGCUGCUGGGGUUGCGCCGACGCUGAGACACGAAAGCCAGGGGAGCAAACGGG